RNAcentral lists this ribosomal RNA (427 nucleotides) under uncultured bacterium. Its description in RNAcentral is "partial 16S ribosomal RNA". It matches the Rfam family "Bacterial small subunit ribosomal RNA", at positions 355 to 774 of the family's 1533-position model. The record is from RNAcentral.
UGGGGAAUAUUGCACAAUGGGCGCAAGCCUGAUGCAGCCAUGCCGCGUGUAUGAAGAAGGCCUUCGGGUUGUAAAGUACUUUCAGCGGGGAGGAAGGUGUUGAGGCUAAUAACCUCAGCAAUUGACGUUACCCGCAGAAGAAGCACCGGCUAACUCCGUGCCAGCAGCCGCGGUAAUACGGAGGGUGCAAGCGUUAAUCGGAAUUACUGGGCGUAAAGCGCACGCAGGCGGUCUGUCAAGUCGGAUGUGAAAUCCCCGGGCUCAACCUGGGAACCGCAUUCGAAACUGGCAGGCUAGAGUCUUGUAGAGGGGGGUAGAAUUCCAGGUGUAGCGGUGAAAUGCGUAGAGAUCUGGAGGAAUACCGGUGGCGAAGGCGGCCCCCUGGACAAAGACUGACGCUCAGGUGCGAAAGCGUGGGGAGCAAACA